AUUGAACCCUAACUCUAACGCUUUCACUCUCGUCCUUCUCUCUGCCUCACACUCACACUCACACUCAGUCUAACUCUAACGCUUUCGCUCUCUGCCUCACACAAACCCUAGCAAUGUCUGCCUCACACAAACCCUAGCAAUGUCUUCCUCACACGAACCCUAGUGCUCGCUGCUUCCACACGAACCUAGCGCUCUCUGCCUCACACGAACCCUAGCGUUUGCUGCUUCCACACGAACCCUAGCGAUGUCUGCCUCACACGAACCCUAGCACUCUCUGCCUCCAUACGAACCCUAACGCUCUCUGCCUCACAAAACCCUACUCUCUCUGCCUCUCUCUGCCUCUACACGGAACCGAUUUGAAGGUAAUUAAAUGCUCGCACGUUCUCUUAUCAAUGCCGACCAUCGGUUUGUUUGAUGUUUAGGAUUUGUCAUGUGAUUCUAUUUGUUUAUUUCAUUAUGUGUUUCAUCUUUUUACUAGGUAGCUAAAGAGCAAUUGAAGCAAGUUAUCACAGAGGCGGCAGGGGAGAAAUAGCAAGGUAUAAUUUCUCAAAAUGACUAAUUAUGAUAAUGAUAUGCCUUGUUCUGUUCUGAGUCAUGAUUUGGCAUCUAAGCAUCUUCGGAAACAUACCUAGACAAUGUGGAUUUUAAAAUUUGAAAGUUACUUUAACCCUAGAGCUUUGUUUACCUCACAAGACGUUGAAUUUAAAAUUUGAAAGUUCCUCACAAGGCAGGGCUGUAAUGAUGUGCUUUCAAAUGAGUUGUACUGCAUGAAAUAUUGCAAGGCCAAAGGGGUAAAAGCAACAUGUGACUGGGUUUUUUUUUUAUGCUUUGUCACUGUAUUCAUAAGCAGACACUAUUGUUGACUGGAAGGUUGGAUAGAAGAAAAAACUAAGUCUCAAAUUGCAGGAGUUAGUGUUCAAUUAGCGGCAAAAUAGAGAAUAAUGGGAAAAGGCAGGAAGAGAAAGAAAAAUUAUUUUUUGGGUUUCAACUAUAGGAUGGUGACAGCUAAGUGACUAACAAUGGUCUUUCUUUGGUAACAUGCUACAAGUUGUAAAUUGAUGGAAAAUAAGAAGAACAGAAAUAAUACAUACAGAUAAUACUUUCAUAUACAAAGAAAGUAUUUGUUAUAAUAGUAUAAUAAAAAAAUAGGAUACACUAGGUUUGUGGUGGUGAAUAAAGCUUAAUUGACUCUCGGGAUUUGGCUUGUGUUCAUUGUUGUUAAAGCAUGAAUUGUGUCUUGUACGGAUAUAGAUAUAGCUAAUGCCAUUCACAUACUAAAAAAUUAGUAAGUAACUAGUACUAGCAAAAUCUAAUAACAUUACUAAAAGACUCAUAAAACUGUAAGAAUAAUAAUUAUAUUUUAAAAUGAAGUUAUUUUUUAAUUUUGUUGGGGUUUCUUUUUUCAUUACUUUUUGUCUUCACUUGGGAAUAAAGUGACUGGGGUGCUUAUUGCACCUGGAUAGGGCACUUGGAAGUAGUAAGUGCCUACCUAUUUGGAAGUAGUAAGUGCCUUCAAACCCCUCACCUAUUUGUUGCACUGAUCACCAUUUUGAUUAAUGAUUGCCUUGAUUUGAAUUGAUCUGCUAGUACAUGCUUGCAGCAAUUGAUUAUUAAAACACUGUCUAAAUAUUUUAGAGACUAGUUUGCUAGUGAUAUCUUUUUAAGUUCAGCAUCUUUUCCCUCUACAGGUUUUCUUUCAUUGGCUAGAAUUUUUUUUCUGUUGGUUUUGUUUUUGGUUUUUAGUUUCAAUCCCUUGGAUUAUAAAUUAUUGAUGUCUGUAUAGCUAGGUAAAGCAUGAAAUAAACAACCCUUCAACUCUCAUAAUUGCUUAGCUGCUCCUUUUCUCUUUACUUUAUUGAUCAUAUUAUCUGUUCCAUCCCCUGUGCACUGGUUCCUUUUGCAGAUAACUGGUGAAACAGUGGGAGAAGUAAAGGCUAUAGCUAAUAUUAAGUUGGUUGCUGAGAUUUGGAGCCAUGAUUUUGGGAGAAUACAAUGCAUCAAAGGAAGGCAGAGAUGGCCAAGCAUUCAGAUGCCUUUAUCGCCUUACCAGGUUAGCAUGAACUAAUAUUGUAAGUUUUUUUAAGGCAAAGAUAUUUUAAAUUCCUUUUUUAGAUAAAAACAUGACCAAUUGUUCAACCUCUACAAGUG
Molecule: long non-coding RNA, 2148 nt
Filed under: Phaseolus vulgaris (common bean)
Lineage: Eukaryota; Viridiplantae; Streptophyta; Magnoliopsida; Fabales; Fabaceae
Description: long non-coding RNA (PVUL_LNC003956)
Source: RNAcentral